CCCGCACAAGCGGUGGAGCAUGUGGUUUAAUUCGAUGCAACGCGAAGAACCUUACCUACUCUUGACAUCCAGGGAAUUUGCUAGAGAUAGCUUAGUGCCUUCGGGAACUCUGAGACAGGUGCUGCAUGGCUGUCGUCAGCUCGUGUUGUGAAAUGUUGGGUUAAGUCCCGCAACGAGCGCAACCCUUAUCCUUUGUUGCCAGCGAGUAAUGUCGGGAACUCAAAGGAGACUGCCGGUGAUAAACCGGAGGAAGGUGGGGAUGACGUCAAGUCCUCAUGGCCCUUACAUCCCGGGCUACACACGUGCUACAAUGGCAGGUACAGAGGGCUGCGAAGCCGCGAGGUGGAGCGAAUCCCAGAAAACCUGUCUCAGUCCGGAUUGAAGUCUGCAACUCGACUUCAUGAAGGCGGAAUCGCUAGUAACCGCGGAUCAGAAUGUCACGGUGAAUACGUUCCCGGGUCUU
Molecule: ribosomal RNA, 463 nt
Filed under: uncultured Enterobacteriaceae bacterium
Lineage: Bacteria; Pseudomonadati; Pseudomonadota; Gammaproteobacteria; Enterobacterales; Enterobacteriaceae
Description: bacterial SSU rRNA
Rfam family: Bacterial small subunit ribosomal RNA
Source: RNAcentral